Molecule: long non-coding RNA, 524 nt
Organism: Medicago truncatula (barrel medic)
Lineage: Eukaryota; Viridiplantae; Streptophyta; Magnoliopsida; Fabales; Fabaceae
Exons: 2
Source: RefSeq, a predicted model, not a curated record
UAGACAUGCUACUUUUUGAUGAACAACAGAAGAGGUUAGAACAAAAUUAUAAGAGAGAAUGAAUUGUUCUUCAAAUAAUAUAGAAAACAGUGAACAAGAGUAUUCCCUCACCAAUCUCACUUGGUUUAUAACUUGCCGGAAGUAUACGAGAACAUAGUACAUGAAAUACCGCAUUUGGAUUCUAUCUCAAAGUUGAACAUAACUUCCAUGGAAGAAAAGUGCACAAUAAACAUAUCAUGAAACCACUUAACUCAUUCUAUCCCAUAUGUGGUUCCAUAUCCUUUUCAAUGGGGAGCUCCUACAUUUUAUGAUGGCGAAACAUUCACCAUGUUAAUAUCAUCUACGUCAUUUUAGCUUCUUCAAAAAAAAAUUUAAAAAAUAGCAUCUACGUGACUACGUCGGUGGAUGUAUAUUUUUGCUUCUCAAGUCGGUGAAUGUUAAUUGAUCUAUCAAUAUUAAAAGAUCAGUUUUAUUUUUACUCAUUAUUCUGAACAAAAGUUGGUUAGAGUUUGAACAUUAAUUAA